This 253-nucleotide ribosomal RNA is filed under the name uncultured bacterium. RNAcentral's name for it is "partial 16S ribosomal RNA". It matches the Rfam family "Bacterial small subunit ribosomal RNA", at positions 524 to 776 of the family's 1533-position model. The record is from RNAcentral.
UACGAAGGGGGCUAGCGUUGCUCGGAAUCACUGGGCGUAAAGCGCACGUAGGCGGCUUCUUAAGUCAGGGGUGAAAUCCUGGAGCUCAACUCCAGAACUGCCUUUGAUACUGAGAAGCUUGAGUCCGGGAGAGGUGAGUGGAACUGCGAGUGUAGAGGUGAAAUUCGUAGAUAUUCGGAAGAACACCAGUGGCGAAGGCGACUUACUGGACGAUUGUUGACGCUGAGGUGCGAAAGCGUGGGGAGCAAACAGG